This 253-nucleotide ribosomal RNA is filed under the name uncultured bacterium. RNAcentral describes it as "partial 16S ribosomal RNA". It matches the Rfam family "Bacterial small subunit ribosomal RNA", at positions 524 to 776 of the family's 1533-position model. The record is from RNAcentral.
UACGGAGGGUGCAAGCGUUGUUCGGAAUCACUGGGCGUAAAGGGCGCGUAGGCGGCCUGUUAAGUCGAACGUGAAAUCCCCGGGCUCAACCCGGGAACUGCGUCCGAUACUGGCAGGCUUGAAUCCGGGAGAGGGAUGUGGAAUUCCAGGUGUAGCGGUGAAAUGCGUAGAUAUCUGGAGGAACACCGGUGGCGAAGGCAGCCCCCUGGGCCAAUACUGACGCUCAUGCACGAAAGCGUGGGUAGCAAACAGG